This is a long non-coding RNA of Ictalurus punctatus (channel catfish), 1072 nucleotides long. The record is from Ensembl. Lineage: Eukaryota; Metazoa; Chordata; Actinopteri; Siluriformes; Ictaluridae.
GAGGAGACAGCCAGGCAGAUCAAAGUGUCAUUAAAGCACACAUACAAUCCAUCAAAAAGACAUCCACCUGCACACAGCCACCAACCCCAGCACACGGCCACUGCUGCUCUUUAGAAAACACCCACAGGUCUGUAAUCAGAGUGUGUCUGAGUGUGGGGGAGUGUAUGAGAGCAUGUCUGAGUGCUUGGGAGUGUUUAGGAGUGUCUGAGUGUAUGGGAGUGUGUGUGUGUGUGUGUGUGUGUGUGUGUGUGUGUGUAUAUGUUGGAGCGGGAGUGUGUUCAAGUGUGUUGGAGUGCUUGGGAGUGUGUGAGAUUGUGUCUGAGUGUGUUGGAGUGUGUGAGAGUGCAUGGAAGUGUUUGGGAGUGUGUGAGAGUGUGUGAGAGUGUGUGAGAGUGUGGGAGUGUGUCUGAGUGUGUGGGAGUGUAUGGGAGUGUGUGGGAGUGUAUGGGAGUGUGUGGGAGUGUAUGGGAGUGUGUGGGAGUGUGUGGGAGUGUAUGGGAGUGUGUGGGAGUGUUUGGGAGUGUGUGGGAGUGUGUGGGAGUGUGUUUGGGAGGGACAGAGAGAGACACUGAGAGUGACAGAGAGAGACACUGAAAGGGACAGAGAGAGACACUUGAUGAUUUGAUCUAAGGCUGAGACAAGAGAGGGAGACAGAAAGGGAGAGAGACACAGAGAGACACAGACAGAGAGAGAGAAAUCGAGACAGAGACUGGGCGAGUGAGUGAGAAAGCGAGGAAUAGAAGAGAGUAGCUGCUGUGUCUCUGAGUAUUAUGGGACAUAAAUACACACAUGCACUCAGUUUUGUGGUAGUUUUGUGGUAGCUACUCCUGAGUGCUGCUCGCAUUUGUGAGGGUGAGGCAAGAGCUCAGGCAGCAGAGCGCCCCGUGGUCGGCCCGUCAAACAGAAAAGGAUCAGUUGAAACAUCCUGUGCUCCGUGGCUGCGUCCGAGGUGCCACUUUAGCCAGGAAUAGAGCUCCAAAGUUGGCUAAAAUGGUCGUCUUCCAAUGGACUUAAAAGGUCCAUUAUCAGUAAGCAUUAAAAUAUAUAUAGUGUGAUAUGCUAGUUGUCCUGC